RNAcentral lists this ribosomal RNA (358 nucleotides) under Eukaryota sp. Its description in RNAcentral is "SSU rRNA". It matches the Rfam family "Eukaryotic small subunit ribosomal RNA", at positions 1325 to 1699 of the family's 1831-position model. The record is from RNAcentral.
UCGUUAACGAACGAGACCUCGACCUGCUAACUAGUACACCAUAGUCUUCGGAUUAUCGGUUUGUGCUUCUUAGAGGGACUAUCGGUGAGUAGCCGAAGGAAGCUCGAGGCAAUAACAGGUCUGUGAUGCCCUUCGAUGUCCUGGGCCGCACGCGCGCUACACUGAUGCAUUCAUCGAGUUUAUCACCUUGGCCGAGAGGCCCGGGUAAUCUUCUCAACGUGCAUCGUGCUGGGGAUCGAUUAUUGUAAUUAUUAAUCGUCAACGAGGAAUUCCUAGUAAUCGCACGUCAUCAGCGUGCAAUGAUUACGUCCCUGCCCUUUGUACACACCGCCCGUCGCUAAUACCGAUUGAAUGGAUA